AGAAAGAUAAGCUAAUCAAGCUACUGGGUUCAUACCCCAUUUAUAGAGGUUUAAUCCUCUUCUCUCUA
This 68-nucleotide transfer RNA is filed under the name Malenka flexura. RNAcentral's name for it is "tRNA-Met". It matches the Rfam family "tRNA". From Rfam's summary of the family: Transfer RNA (tRNA) molecules are approximately 80 nucleotides in length. Their secondary structure includes four short double-helical elements and three loops (D, anti-codon, and T loops). The record is from RNAcentral. Lineage: Eukaryota; Metazoa; Arthropoda; Insecta; Plecoptera; Nemouridae.